Panicum virgatum (switchgrass) is the source of this 234-nucleotide long non-coding RNA. RefSeq lists it as uncharacterized. Lineage: Eukaryota; Viridiplantae; Streptophyta; Magnoliopsida; Poales; Poaceae. The record is from RefSeq and is a predicted model, not a curated record. The transcript has 4 exons.
CAACCUGCUUGGAUCAAACAAUGAGUUUGAGAUACUGGGAGAUGCAAUAGAAAGAAAUACAGAUACUAAUAAAGUGUACAAGGAACUUUUUUCUAAGGCAACCAAGCUCGGAAGCAAGGGAAGCAACCUAAAAACUAAUUAUAUUAUCAAGAUUCUUGGCUUGUCUGACUGUGCUGAAACUAUAGUAGGGGAUGCGCUCCAUAGAGGAAUUUCCGGGGGCCAGAAAAAGCCAAC